This 2268-nucleotide ribosomal RNA is filed under the name Triticum aestivum (bread wheat). Its description in RNAcentral is "partial small subunit ribosomal RNA". The record is from RNAcentral. Lineage: Eukaryota; Viridiplantae; Streptophyta; Magnoliopsida; Poales; Poaceae.
AUGCCUUUCCUCCCCAUUGUUUUCACCUUGCUCUUCUUCCUACGCGCCCCAGCAAGUUCUGCCGCGACGGACACCAUCUUCGCCGGCCAAGCACUUGGUGUCAACGACAACCUCGUCUCCAAGAAUGGCAGGGACACACCAAUCAAGAACACCACCUCACUGGAGCUCACAAUCUCCCACGAUGGGAAUCUGGUCAUCUUAAACCGGUCCACCAAGUCCAUAAUCUGGUCUACAGAAGCAAACAUCACAAGAAAUAGCACCACUGCCAUGCUGCUGAGUAGUGGAAAUUUCAUCCUAGUAGACUCUUCAAACUCAUCAGUUCUGUGGCAGAGCUUUGAUCAUCCCACAGAUACACUUCUCCCCGGAGCAAAGCUUGGAUGGGACAAGCUCACUGGCCUCAACCGUCGUUUAGUUUCUUGGAAGAACUUGAACAACCCAGCUACUGGUGUGUAUAGUGAUGAGAUAGGUCUCUCGUUUAGCCUAAACCAGUUCUUCCUAGCGCCACAUAACAACUCCAUGCCAUAUUGGUCGACAGGUAUAUACAAUGGCGAAAACUUUUACUCAAAUUCAGGGAUGUUGACACAAAAUCCACUUUUAAGUGCAACAGUUGUUGGCACUGACCAAGAGAUGUACUGGACAUAUAAUUUAGUAAAAGAAGAUAUCGUUACUCGAAAUAUUAUUGACAGCUCAGGUAAAGUUAAGAUGUUCUUUUGGUCCAAGCAGGCACAGGAUUGGCAAGUGGUCUAUACCCAACCACUAGCUCCGUGUGAUGUCUAUGCAAUCUGUGGACCUUUCACAAUUUGCAAUGAUAAUGAGCUCCCAUAUUGCAAUUGUAUGGAGGGCUUCAACAUAACAUCCCCCGUGGACUGGGAUCUACAAGAUCGAACCGGUGGCUGCUCGAGAAUUACUCCGUUAGAAUGCAUUGGCAAUAAAAGCACAACUCAUACUACAGAUAAGUUCUACUUGGUGUCAUGUGUUACGCCUCAGACUGCCCCAAAAGUAGAAGCUGCUACAAGCGCGAGUGAAUGUGCACAAGUUUGCCUGAAUGAUUGCUCUUGCACCGCCUAUUCCUUCAGUGACAGCAGAUGUUCUAUCUGGCAUAAUGAAUUGCUCAACAUAAGAGCACUGCAAUGUAGUGGCAGUACAAGUUCAACUGGAGAAACUCUUUACCUUCGUGUUUCUGCUGAAGAUUUCCACAGAGUGAAAAACAACAGAAAGGGGAUUGUUAUCGGAGUUGCAACUGGUACAGGUGUUUCUGCUCUAGGAUUAUUUGCACUUGUUCUCCUGGUAAAGAUUUGGAGAAACAGAAGUAAGAGCUCCAAUAUACUGGAUUGUGUUCAAGGUUGUACCAGAAUCAUUGCCUUUAGAUACACUGAUUUACAGCAUGUCACAACAAAAUUCAGAGAUAAAUUGGGGGCAGGCAGUUUUGGUUCUGUAUUCAAGGGGGUUUUAAAUGACUCGGUAGCUAUAGCAGUGAAAAGGCUUGACGGUGCUUAUCAAGGAGAGAAGCAAUUCAGAGCUGAAGUGAGCUCGAUUGGAGCUGUCCAACACAUCAAUUUAGUUAAGCUUGUCGGUUUCUGUUGUGAGGGUUCCAAUAGGUUGCUUGUUUACGAAUACAUGUCAAACCGCUCUCUUGAUGUCCAUUUAUUUCGAAACAAUCCGAUGAUAUUGAGUUGGACUACUAGAUAUCAGAUAGCCAUAGGGGUUGCUCGAGGUUUAGCCUACUUGCAUGAGGGAUGUCGAGACUGCAUCAUACACUGUGAUAUUAAGCCAGAAAACAUACUUCUUGAUGAUUCAUUCAUUCCCAAAGUUGCAGACUUUGGAAUGGCAAAGCUUUUGGGAAGGGAAUUUAGCCGAGUACUGACUACAAUGAGAGGAACUGCAGGGUACCUUGCACCUGAAUGGAUCAGUGGUGUUGCUGUUACACAAAAAGUCGAUGUGUAUAGCUAUGGGAUGAUGUUGCUGGAAAUUAUAUCUGGAAAAAGGAAUUCAAGUGCAUCAUUUUCUAGUGGUGGCAACUUUGAUGUUUAUUUCCCUGUUCAUGCCGCACACAAGCUUCUUGAAGGAGACGUUGGGAGUUUGGUCGAUCAAAGUCUACAUGGUGAUGUCAGUCUGGAUGAGGCUGAACUCGCUUGCAAGGUUGCAUGUUGGUGCAUUCAAGACAACGAGCUUGACAGACCAACAAUGGGACAGAUAGUUCAGAUUCUCGAAGGGCUAGUUGAGAUCAGGAUGCCCCCGGUACCAAGACACCUCGAAGCUAUGGCUUAA